CGCCUCUUAGUGCUUACAUUGUGUUCUUACAUUGACUAUAUAGAUAAGGAGGAGGAAAAGUAAACCUACCUAAACCCAGGCCCUUGUCUGGUCUGUAUUGUGAAUAGGAAGACAUGG
Molecule: small nucleolar RNA, 117 nt
Filed under: Castor canadensis (American beaver)
Lineage: Eukaryota; Metazoa; Chordata; Mammalia; Rodentia; Castoridae
Description: Small nucleolar RNA SNORA51 (ENSCCNG00000003102.1)
Rfam family: Small nucleolar RNA SNORA51
About the family: ACA51 is a member of the H/ACA class of snoRNA that guide the sites of modification of uridines to pseudouridines.
Source: Rfam by way of RNAcentral